Molecule: long non-coding RNA, 286 nt
Organism: Bradysia coprophila
Lineage: Eukaryota; Metazoa; Arthropoda; Insecta; Diptera; Sciaridae
Source: RefSeq, a predicted model, not a curated record
AAAUAUAGAAAGUGUGGUAUCGUUCGAAAGGUAAUUGAAUAGCCUUUAAUUUAAACUGUAUGGUAGGACCUUAAUGUUGACACUGUUGUGCAGGAGAGACGCUGUACCCGUUAAAAAAUAGUUUUUCAAAAAUAUUUCAAAAAGUUGCCGUCCACUUUCCGACCACUUGCCCUGAUUUAUGAUCAGUGGACAUCGACUAACAUUUAUCUACAAUAAAAUUUGAGUUACAUUACAUUUUUAAUUAGCCAUCGUUGAAGCCCACCGUUGAUUUUUAUAUACGAAAAAU